This is a non-coding RNA of Myotis lucifugus (little brown bat), 75 nucleotides long. The record is from Rfam. Lineage: Eukaryota; Metazoa; Chordata; Mammalia; Chiroptera; Vespertilionidae.
GGUAGUUCUCGGGUGACGGACCCUGGAAUCAGGUUCUCUCCUCUCUGGUUCCAGGUGUGUCACCUGAGAACUGCA